This 28-nucleotide small RNA is filed under the name Bombyx mori (domestic silkworm). RNAcentral describes it as "ovarian small RNA-9613". Lineage: Eukaryota; Metazoa; Arthropoda; Insecta; Lepidoptera; Bombycidae. The record is from RNAcentral.
UUCCUCAACAACACAAGUCUACCCGUCC